This is a long non-coding RNA of Gasterosteus aculeatus aculeatus (three-spined stickleback), 1967 nucleotides long. The record is from Ensembl. Lineage: Eukaryota; Metazoa; Chordata; Actinopteri; Perciformes; Gasterosteidae.
CUCAUAGAAAAAAAAGAUAUUAGGUUGAAUAAUGUUUCUAGAAAAUUCUAAACAUCUUAGGUCAAAAAUUGUCAUGGAGAAAAAAAGUAACAAAUUAUUAUGAAGAGAGUCCUAACAUGUUAAGAAAAUGAAAAGAAAUUGAGAAAAAAAAUGUAGAAAUCUUAGGCCGAGAAAUAUAAUGGAAGAAAGAGUCAAAGUAAAAGGUAAAAAAAAGUCAAGGGGACAAAAAAGUCAGAAAUUCAAAAAAUAUGUUCGGUUGGAAAAAGUCAUAAAAAAAAGGCAUAGAUUCUUUGAAAAGAAUUGUAAAUAUGUUAAGUCAACACAUUUGGUCAAAAGAAGUCAUGGACGAAAAAGUCAACUAUUCACAAAAGGUCAUAUACAUUAUUUCGAAAAAUGUCUUAGAAAAAAAGUUCAAAUAUUUUAUUACAGAUGUCAAAAGUCAAAUGUAAGGUUGAAAGUACUUCUGAAUAAAACAUUUGAUGGCGUGUUUAACUAAGCCAUCAUGACAUUAUUUCUGCCUCCAGCACAGCUUUGUGAAGUGUGAACACGCGCGUCCGUGUGAUCGACUGUCAGGGGCAUCACUAAAAAGAGCAGAUGGAGUUGAUCUUUGUCUCCAGCUUUCGAUGAAUGGCAGAUUUAACAGCCCUUCUUUCUCACUGCCACAGACUCAAGGACAUAAUCAGUGUGAUGGCCGUCCACAAGAAGCCACCACUAUCUCGCUGCCGCCUCCCCACACGCUGACUCAUCGCAAUCAGCGCGUCGUUGACGCAUCGUUUUAGCAUGGCUAGUUUGCUCGCGUCAUUCUAAUAACACUCAAAGCCAAUGAAUAAAUGAAUAAAAGGGAAUUUGACAGCCCAGUUGUUUAUUAGCCGGCAUGACUUUCAUUCAAAAAGAAAUGAAAUGUUCCUGUUUUAGGUUUUUGUACGUUGAGCAGCUUUUGGCGUAUUUGUAUGAACUCAAAGUUUAAUUGAAUAAAUGUCUGCGAGAAUCGUUUCUUUUAGUCGAUAUGUCACAGCGAUGAGUCAUCUGUCUUUUAGGGGUUGCUUGGGUGAAAAUCUCAAUGGGAUUCAUUCAUAUCACUGCUUCAAAAAGUAGGUCUAAUCAGACUCCAAUCACCGGGAAGGUGAUGUGAACAUAUUGGGGGGGGGGGAUACCUUUUAUUAGCACUGUAGAUUGUAGUAUAGUGGCUUGCCAAUGCUAACUGGCACUACAGCUUUAAUGUUAAACAAUAAAAUAAUUUGUAAACUGUAAAAUUGAUACAUGCUUUAUUGAAAAAAAGCCACCCUGAGAAGAUGUGACAGAUGUCACUGUUUGAAAUACAUCCAGGCUUAUUCAAUAUUUUCUUUUGGUUGUAGUCUACAAUAAAAUUGUUUGCCCUUUACUGACUCAUCCGCAUUUCAGACAACCUUUUAGUUGUUCCCUUGGUUGUUAAUUAUUUCCGCCUCAAGCAAACACCUGCUGCAAAUUAAUAUUUGAUCAACUUAAAUUCCAAUCAGCGCUUUUCAAACGACAUUUCAAUCUGUGUCUCUUUGUCAUACAGUAUACAAGCCGUUUGCAUACAGUAUACAAGAAAAAUGCAUACAGUAUACAAGCAAAAUGCAUAAAGUAUACAAGCAAAAUGCAUAAAGUAUACAAGAAAAAUGCAUACAGUAUACAAGCCGUUUGCAUACAGUAUACAAGAAAAAUGCAUACAGUAUACAAGCCGUUUGCAUACAGUAUACAAGAAAAAUGCAUACAGUAUACAAGCCGUUUGCAUACAGUAUACAAGAAAAAUGCAUACAGUAUACAAGCCGUUUGCAUACAGUAUACAAGAAAAAUGCAUAAAGUAUACAAGCCGUAUGCAUACAGUAUACAAGCAAAUGCAUACAGUAUACAAGCCGUAUGCAUACAGUAUACAAGCAAAUGCAUACAGUAUACAAGCCGUAAGCAUAAAGUACACAAGCAGCCAGCUUAUGCAGUCAAUUCCU